CCCAUUCAAACUUUUAGCUAUGUUAGCGUGGUCAGUGUUCUUCCUCUGGCGCCAAGGAUGGCUAGGAAAUACCAAUGGAACACCUGAACUGGGACAAUCCACCCACCAGGUUUUGGUUGGUAUAUGUCAGAUUCGUUAACUGACUCCAUGGUAACUUCUGGUAGGUAUCUUCUCAACAUGGUUAUGAGAGAGAUUCAACUUACUAGAAAAACAGAACACGAUAUUAGAGAGCCAAACAGUCAGAAAAGUUAAUGACAUAUAGCAAAAGCUAAAACACGAAAUGUAAAUCAGCAAACUCAUAGAGAAAGGAUAAACAGAAUCUUUGCUGUGCACCUUAGUGACUGGGUGAGGAGGGGGAAUAAUCCUCACUUUGUUGAUGUUCUGGUUGUUUUUGCUGCCUUUACUGCUUCAUUUUUCCUCUCUGCCUGCUGGGGAAUUUCAUCAACUUUUUUUUUUAUUAAAAAAAGCUACCCAUUAUAAGACUUCACACAUUCUUGUGGUGCAAUGCUACACUUCUGGAAACUUCCAUGUGUUGGUUGGUACUCUUUUAUCUUUUUCCACUUCCAUACUCUUCUUGUACAUCCUCUCAUGUAUCUUCUUCCAUGGUUCUGCUAUCUUCUUGUUAUUCUCCUUUGCCCUCUUAUUCCUGCUUAUUAAUUGUUGGCUGAUUCCCUGAAUAGAUGCCUAUCUUGUUGUCCCUUUUUUCCUUCUCCCCCUACUUCAUGUUCGGUUCUUAUGCUUGCUCGAGACAACAACCUGCUUCCUCCUAAUUGGUCACUUCAAGCAUCGAUAGUUACCAUUGACUGUUAACCUUCUUCCAAUGCAAAUAUAUCUGACUCAUUAGUUCUAUCUAUGAUGUGUUGUCAAUUGAUGUUGAUGAGAUGGUUUAGUAAACAUAAAGGGGGAUGGAGUCCCUGUUGGAGGUGUUUGUGUUGAAAGGCCUCUAGUAUCAUUCCCUCGCGCUAUAAUCCCUCUCCCUGUUCCUUAAUCUAGGAAGCUCGAUAAACCUUGGGAUUAACUCCAGUCAAAUACUUGAUUCCUGUUCUUUCCUUGGAGCAGUUCGAUCAAGUGGAAUCAAAUCCUACAGGCUCAUAUGCUAACACUGCCACUCAGUUACUCUAUAAGAUUUCUAUAAGCAUGAAGAGAAUUUUGUGUCAAAUGCUGUAUCUCAUGACGAUGUAAAGAAAGUUAAAUGGUAAGCUUAUUUUGAAAAGGAUUUUGGAAUCGUGCUUUGAUCCCAAAAGGUGCUGCCUUCCUCUAUUAGGGUUAAAGCUUUAUUAGCACAAAUUGGGACUUCUGUUAGGGUUUGUUCCGGUGCCAAUUAAUUCGUAAUUGUGGCCUAUUGUAACCUAACUACACGCUCAUUCAGAGUUCCAAACAAGUUUUACUUUAUCAAAUCCAAGGAUCGAUUCUUGAAUUGCAACACCUACGCUAUUAUAUGUCAUACUAGUGAACUACUUUGAUGGAACCUAAACAAAUACAGUAAGUCAUCUAUAAUCAUCUAUAAGAUACUGAAAACAGAAACCCAACCUAAAAUAACUAACAAGGUCUCUUCUCAAAGUUGAGUGAUCCAUAGUUACCUCCAUGUUUCCACUACUAACCUGAAAAAUCCAUGAGCUGUGUAGAGAAUUCCCUUAAAGCCUCCACUACACUCUGGUUCCUGUAUUGUCUGCAUUACAAAAUAGCAGGUUUGAACCUGUUUCAGGAAGUUUUUCCUACCCUCCUUCCCAAUAGUAAGCAUAGUC
RNAcentral lists this long non-coding RNA (1745 nucleotides) under Nicotiana tabacum (common tobacco). RNAcentral's name for it is "long non-coding RNA (NTAB_LNC002601)". The record is from RNAcentral. Lineage: Eukaryota; Viridiplantae; Streptophyta; Magnoliopsida; Solanales; Solanaceae.